This 468-nucleotide ribosomal RNA is filed under the name uncultured bacterium. RNAcentral's name for it is "partial 16S ribosomal RNA". It matches the Rfam family "Bacterial small subunit ribosomal RNA", at positions 28 to 507 of the family's 1533-position model. The record is from RNAcentral.
GACGAACGCUGGCGGCGUGCUUAACACAUGCAAGUCGAACGGAAAGGCCCUGCUUUUGGGGGGUGCUCGAGUGGCGAACGGGUGAGUAACACGUGGGUAACCUGCCCUUGACUUUGGGAUAACUUCAGGAAACUGGGGCUAAUACGGGAUAGGGGCUCCUGCUGCAUGGUGGGGGUUGGAAAGUUUCGGCGGUUGGGGAUGGACUCGCGGCUUAUCAGCUUGUUGGUGGGGUAGUGGCUUACCAAGGCUUUGACGGGUAGCCGGCCUGAGAGGGUGACCGGCCACACUGGGACUGAGAUACGGCCCAGACCCCUACGGGAGGCAGCAGUGGGGAAUAUUGCACAAUGGGCGGAAGCCUGAUGCAGCAACGCCGCGUGCGGUAUGACGGCCUUCGGUUUGUAAACCGCUUUCGCCUGUGACGAAGCGUGAGUGACGGUAAUGGGUAAAGAAGCACCGGCUAACUACGUG